AAAAAAAGUCUGUCUCUAUGAAAUUAUUCUUUUAUUUGUAAAAACUGCUGUAUUGUAGUACAACUUCAGUGUUCAUGACUGCUUAUCCCUCAUUAGAUUUUGCACUGUGAAGGUUGAUGUGAUGCACAGGGUGAAACAACACUUCAUCUGUAAAAGGUUGAGCAAAAACUAAAUAGCCUUAAAUUACACUCGUGGCAGAAUAAAUGUUUUGAGUUUUUUUGCAAUCACAGUUUUGUUAAGCAGCAGAAUUUCUUUUGUUGAACUUGUAAACUUUCCAGUGCACGCUUGCUUUUGUUGACAAUAUGGGGUUUUUUGUUUGUUUGUUUUGUUUUUUUUCCCCCCAGCAUUUUCAAGAUAAGACCUAUUUUGAUGAUCAGAAGAACCUGGCACUUACUUAUAAGAAAAUGAGGAUCAAAUGUUAACUUAAGCAUUACUUAUUGUUCUGUCAUGGUAGACAUUUGCAGGGGUUUUGCAGAGGAUAAAAUGAAGAGGAUAAAAUGCUGAUGAAACAUAAUGUUAAUAAGAAUGAUGUAAAUACAUAAGCUGAUAAUUGUCUGGACAGUUGCAUGGAGUUAAGAGGUUCAAGCAAUUAUCUAUGCUUAUUGACAGGUCCAUAAACAUCUGCUUCCACUCCUGGCUGGGCUUUACCAGCCAGAUGAAAAAUUUCUGAGAAACCAAGAAACAAGAGGCUGCUGAAAGCCGUGAAAAUAGGAUUCAGCAUGGACCAACCAAGGAAGGCUUCACUGAGCCCUGACUUAGGGCUGAGGUCACCCUGUGAGAUUGCAAGGAAUUGCAUUCAGUCUUCAUAUUUAAGCUGAAAUCGAGGAUUUUCUCAAGCGAUUGGUGUCACGGUUUAGACAAGAUACUUAAGUGGAAAGGAGUGGACAAUUCAGCUUUCAGACCUCCUGUACGGGCAUAUCCAAUGUGCCAAGCCUGAUGCCAAACAUCAGCAAACCACACGCAUGGAGGCUGCCAUCCAACCACAGGGAAAAUUGUCAAAUAUUGUCAGGAGGUUGUCUGUCUACCACCAUCAGCACAGUGUGUAGAAGCCUGCACAAACCACCAGAGUUUGCCUCUUGCAGAAGAUCCUGCAUUCCUCUGAAUCAUGACUGUUUUCCCAAAGGCAUCAGAAAUGCUGAACACUGCCUAAGAAAAGGUGAAAACAGAGAGAUGAUAUUGCCUCUAACUUUCAACCAGCAAUUGGAAAUAAAAUCGGAUGAGGUUUGCAGCUGGUAAUCUGGGGACCAUGGAGAAAAAUCAGUGUGACCAAUAAAAAUGAAAACACUGUUCCUUUGUUUAUCAAACAAAUUAAUAAGGGUUUUAUGUAUCAAAGACUAUGUACUAUGAAAUAAACUCCAAUGUUAAGUGAAUUUAUAUAGCUUGCCUAUGUUUUCAUAGAGGCACACCCUUCAUUCUUUAUUACCUUUUACAAAUGAUUAGCUUAGCAGAAAAAAAUCCAUUUAAAUUAUUUUCAGAUAUAGACUUUUUUUUACGCCCCAAAAAUGAGCUUUCUCCCUGACAACUGUGUACUUUCUAAGAGGAAAAAAAUCACUUUAGUGUUAAAAAUCAACCUAUUGGAAGUUUGGUUAUAGUUAAUGCUAGUAUUUUCAAACCUGUGUAGCUAAAACUAGACCUAUAGAAGGAAAAAUGAAAGAAAACCUAAUUUGAAGAUACAACAAUUUAUCUCAAAUUUAUGUAUGCAUUAAGAAGAGCCUAUUGUGAGUACAAGGCAUAUUUCUUCUCUUCUCUAAAGGUGAUAUUUCAAAGUACUGAGCACCACCAGUGUUCAUCCCAGUUAAAUAAACUGAAACUGUAGGUAUUCAAGACCUGUGAAACUAAUUCACUUCUGCAUAACUACUUAACUUUGAAAAUUGUUACAGAUGAAAGGGGUGAGAUAUUUAGCAGAGAGAAAAAAAAUCCUGGGAGUAAAAAUAUCCCAAGGCUUUGCAAUAGCUUGGCAAAGGUAUUUGCCAUAUGUGGUAGUAUAGCAGAAAUGCUGAGUCACAGCUUGAACCAGUGACUGAGCACCUGGUGGGAA
Non-coding RNA from Meleagris gallopavo (turkey), 2038 nucleotides. The record is from RefSeq and is a predicted model, not a curated record. NCBI's taxonomy places the organism in Eukaryota, Metazoa, Chordata, Aves, Galliformes, Phasianidae.